Molecule: long non-coding RNA, 456 nt
Organism: Quercus lobata
Lineage: Eukaryota; Viridiplantae; Streptophyta; Magnoliopsida; Fagales; Fagaceae
Exons: 2
Source: RefSeq, a predicted model, not a curated record
UCCCACUCUCUCAUGGCAAUUAUGGCUGCACAGAAACGGAGAAAGAUUUGGGGAACCAGGAAUACAGGCAACCACUUUGGUAUAUAUAGCUAAGGUUGAGGUGAUUGUGGGCCAAUGCUGGCUGGAGGCUCAUUUUGCAGGAUUCUGGCAUGCCCUACAAUUGGGUAAAAACGGGGACUUCAGGAGGUUCAACUUGAGAGCCACUUAAGUAUUGCCAAUUUGCCAUUGCUGCUUUUAACAUGGAUUCCCCAAAAACAAGUUACCUGAAAUGCUCUGUUCAACAAAGUGAAACUAGCAAUAUCUAAUUUUAGAUACUGCGAGUUUAAUUUUGUGGACAAAAGCUGUAAUAAUGCUCCUCUAGUUUUAGCAGAUCUUGGAUGUAAAAAUUGCGCCACUGAGAUUUGGCUACUUGAUAAUUUUGUGAAAUGCAAUAUAAAUCCUGCCGCUUUUAUUUUA